RNAcentral lists this ribosomal RNA (164 nucleotides) under uncultured bacterium. RNAcentral describes it as "partial 16S rRNA". It matches the Rfam family "Bacterial small subunit ribosomal RNA", at positions 355 to 511 of the family's 1533-position model. The record is from RNAcentral.
UAGGGAAUCUUCCACAAUGGGCGCAAGCCUGAUGGAGCAACGCCGCGUGAGUGAAGAAGGUCUUCGGAUCGUAAAACUCUGUUGUUAGAGAAGAACACGAGUGAGAGUAACUGUUCAUUCGAUGACGGUAUCUAACCAGCAAGUCACGGCUAACUACGUACCAG